CAUGCAGGCGGAUCGAUAAGUCGGGGGUGAAAGCCCGAGGCUCAACCUCGGAACUGCCUUUGAUACUGUCGAUCUUGAGUCCGGGAGAGGUGAGUGGAACUCCGAGUGUAGAGGUGAAAUUCGUAGAUAUUCGGAAGAACACCAGUGGCGAAGGCGGCUCACUGGCCCGGUACUGACGCUGAGAUGCGAAAGCGUGGGGAGCAAACAGGAUUAGAUACCCUGGUAGUCCACGCCGUAAACGAUGGAUGCUAGCCGUCAGCCAGCAUGCUGGUUGGUGGCGCAGCUAACGCAUUAAGCAUCCCGCCUGGGGAGUACGAUCGCAAGAUUAAA
RNAcentral lists this ribosomal RNA (330 nucleotides) under uncultured Amorphus sp. Its description in RNAcentral is "bacterial SSU rRNA". It matches the Rfam family "Bacterial small subunit ribosomal RNA", at positions 568 to 898 of the family's 1533-position model. Lineage: Bacteria; Pseudomonadati; Pseudomonadota; Alphaproteobacteria; Hyphomicrobiales; Amorphaceae. The record is from RNAcentral.